AGAGUUUGAUCCUGGCUCAGGACGAACGCUGGCGGCGUGCUUAACACAUGCAAGUCAAGGGGGUUGGAGCAAUCCAGCAACCGGCGAACGGGUGCGUAACACGUGAGCGACCUACCCAGUGAUGGGGGAUAGCCGGCCCAACGGCCGGGUAAUACCGCAUACGCGUCUUCGGGGGCAUUCCUGGGGACGGAAACCUACGGGGUCAGUGGAGGGGCUCGCGGCCUAUCAGCUAGUUGGCGAGGUAACGGCUCACCAAGGCGAUGACGGGUAGCUGGUCUGAGAGGAUGGCCAGCCACAUUGGGACUGAGAGACGGCCCAGACUCCUACGGGAGGCAGCAGUGGGGAAUCUUGCGCAAUGGCCGAAAGGCUGACGCAGCGACGCCGCGUGGAGGAUGACGCCCUUCGGGGUGUAAACUCCUGUUGCCCGGGACGAAUACCUGUUUCGACAGGGGUGACGGUACCGG
This 464-nucleotide ribosomal RNA is filed under the name uncultured bacterium. Its description in RNAcentral is "bacterial SSU rRNA". It matches the Rfam family "Bacterial small subunit ribosomal RNA", at positions 8 to 481 of the family's 1533-position model. The record is from RNAcentral.